Cygnus olor (mute swan) is the source of this 3129-nucleotide RNA transcript. RefSeq lists it as uncharacterized. Lineage: Eukaryota; Metazoa; Chordata; Aves; Anseriformes; Anatidae. The record is from RefSeq and is a predicted model, not a curated record. The transcript is spliced from 3 exons.
UGAGGAGAGCGGCUGUGGAGCAGGGCGCAUGCGCAGAGGCUGCUGCGCCGCUUUUGGCGCCAAAAGGCUGAGAGGAAAGGGAGGGGCUGGGCGCUGCCCCUCAGGUGAGGGGCGGCCGGGGGCUGUUGCGCCCCGGGAAGGGGUUUAACGUUUUAAGAUUUUAACAUAGCGGAUAUCGAGCCUUACGCGAUGUUCUGGCACUGGGGGAGGGCUUCGGGACAGGUCUCCGGCCAUUCCCCGUGCGAACGCCCGUUGAGUCUUCUGGGAGCCCAAAGCUCGGCCGGUGGGACAUUCUCUGCCUGGCCACAGGAUCGGCUGCGCCGCAGGCUUCAUGGCGCGCACCGGGAGAAUUUCCCUGGAGGAACUCUGCUCCUCGGCCACUCACUGCAGGGGCAGACAAUGACCUGCUACACCAUGGAGAAACGAGAAAACUUUGAAACCACAGUGGGAAGGACCAUACCAGGUGCUCCUUACUACCUUCACUGCAAUUAAGAUCAAGGAAGAGAGUGCCUGGAUUCGCCAUUCUUGAGUGGAGAAAGCCCCAGAAGCCCCCUGGAAAGUAACACUGGGUGACAGUGAAUUGAAACUAAAGCUCACUCGAGCAAAAUGAAGACGUUACGGUCAGGAAUAUUUAGUAAAAUAGUUUGCAGAAAUUUAGUUAAUAGAAUUGUUUUAUUUGCGUGGCUUAUAGUUGUUGUUGUGAUUCAAGAAUUGGAAAGUGCCUCUAAGAUAAUAGAGAAUGGUGAGUGGCCUUGGUCCGAAGCCGUAACAACGGAGGAUAAGAGCAUUAAUGGAAAAUUAGCAGUUGUGGUUAUGUGGCAAACAAAUGGUGACCAUUUACAUAUAUUAUCACAAUGGCAAAAAUUAGGAGAAGAGUGGACACACCAAAGAACUGCAGGGGAUGAAAUUAAAAUAGGGUGCCAAAUGAUUAAUGGAACAACCCACAAGAAAGUAACAGGGAUUUUAGUAAAACCGAUUUCCAAAAGUGGCCAGCAAGAAGGUUGUAUCCGCCCAGGUAAAUUAGAUUGUUGGUAUAAUUUUAUAUUAACACAGACCGUAGUAGUUAGCUGUUUUUGGACUAAUAAUGGCCAAGAGCUCAAAAUCGAGGAGGGCGAGGGCCUCAUAUUAAAUUUUACAAUAUAUGCUGUACUUCCUACAACAGUGGAGCCCCCUACAACCUAUGCCAGCACUCAAGUGGCCCAACCCCAAACCAAACUUAAACCCAAAAUUUAUGAAACAGGCCCAUAUUUAGUAAGGAACACAGGCCAACAACAAUUGUUAUUUAAUCCAGAAUGGUCUCUGAAGCAUGUUGAAUUGCUAAUGCAAAUUAACAUCUCGGAAGUUCAACCAGCCCGCUCUCCUUUCCUAAAGACAUCAUUUGAAGGCUGGACAACAUGGUUACAAAAGCAAGCACACCUCAGGGGCAGGACACGAAGAGACUUAACUGGAAUGCUAGGAACAGGAUUAGGAGUUUUAAACGGAAUUGAUUGGGAAAUAUUAAUGAAUAAGCUGGCCACUGCAACAAGUGAUUUGACAAAACUAAAACAGCCCCUACAAUCAUCAUUAUUGGCAUUGGGAACUAGGCAAUGGCAGGUUUCAAAGGUAUUACCGAGAUGGGAAAAGGCUGAAGACCAAGACCGCAAACUAAUAAUAGAUGCACUUAGUAUGGUUCAAGAUAAUGUAUCUUUAGCUUUUAGUUGUAUGCAAGCACAGUUAUGGAUGCAGGCAACAGCUGCCUUGAUCAUUAGGGAAGGAAGUGAAGGCGUUUUCCCGGUUGAAGUCUGAAAGGCUGUUUGGGACAAUGCCAAUGAUUUUGAGAGGAAGUUCCAAUCUUGGUGGACUCUGGUAAAUUUGACCUAUGAUCCCACUGUUAACGUGGCUACUGCCUUUGUGCUUACUAUACGUAAUGCCACAGUUUAUGUUAUCCACCCCAUUGUUGCACUAGGAUUAAACCAUAAGGAGACAGUGCUUUAUCCUUCAAAGCAUAGAACAUGGGCACGGAUGGUGAAUGGGAAAUGGCAGACUGUAAAUCUGGAAUCAUGUGCUAACCGGGAACAACAAGGAUUCAUCUGUGAAAGCAACACAAUUGACGCUCAGGACGUAUGUCUUGACACUGAGCAAGGUGUUUGCCCCUUUGAAAUUCAUCCAAAUACUAGUCAAAAGACUGUGCUUGUAUAUAUUGGUCAAGGCUGUGUGUGUUUAAGAACUGCUUGUGCUUUUGUAGCAGUAGAUAAGGAAAAUAUAACUCUCCCUAGCAAAAAUCAUUCUAACUUUUGUAUUUGUAACUUUGUUAGAAUUGUCGGGUGUGAUUUUCUAUAUUUGGCACCAGUGGUAUCCCACCAGUUAGUCAAGUCUAACAACACAAUGUAUCACAAGUUAUUACCUACACCUAUUGGGAUGAGCCUCACGUUAGUGAGGCAAUUAGUUAAACGCCAAGACCUGAUCAAAAUUUUGAAAGGCAUUCAGGAAAAUGGAGAGAAGACUCUAAUCACUGUCCAUCAUGAUACAAAGGAAAUAAGCAGAGUUCUGCAAAGAGUAAAACAAAACGAAAAUCACAACUGGUGGGAUGCACUCUUUGGAUGGUCGCCAACAGCAACUGGGAUUUUGAACACAUGGUGUCACCCAAUUAUCGUUUUAUUGAUAUUAAUUGGUAUAAGUUUAGUAUUGUCUUUUGUAAUACUUGUUUGGAAUUGGAAAAUGUUACAACGAACGGCGAUAUUAACUUCCUUGUCAAAAGUACAUGGCAAGGCAUUGAGGGAUACAUAUCGUAGAGAUUGGGAAGAAGAAUUUUUGUAUUAAGUAAAAGAAUUUACUAGAUUUUCUAGAAAAGGGGGGACUGAGACAUGGGGUUAGAAAUUAGAGGGCGAUUGAUUAAGAGUGGAUAUGAGACAACACUCAUUGCUUAAUACGUGCUACGCAAACGCAGAAGGACUGAUAAGAUAACUAGCAUACGAAGCGGGGCUAGGCGGAGCUAGGAAAUGCAUAUGCAUAGAUGUGUUGCGAAACAAUGCAUAUGUAAUAUUUUAGGGGAUAAAAGAGAACGCGAGUGAGCAAAUUGUUGCGUAUGCCUUUGGGAGCUAUACUGCAUAUGCCCAGCGCCGAAAUAAACCACAUACCUACUUUAUAACU